Molecule: long non-coding RNA, 3366 nt
Organism: Maniola jurtina (meadow brown)
Lineage: Eukaryota; Metazoa; Arthropoda; Insecta; Lepidoptera; Nymphalidae
Exons: 3
Source: RefSeq, a predicted model, not a curated record
UAAACAAGGCCAUUAUUGUCCAAAUGUUUAUUCUGUUUCUCUUGAACGUCAAGUAAACGUCACUUGGUGCGUGCCGCGCGCGGACCGGCCCAGCUCGGUGCCGGGCCCGUGCGUGGCUACUCUUACAACUAACAAUUUAGUGGCACUCAUCUAUACAAGUCAUAAAUAUAACAAAAUACGAACAAAGCAAUCAAUGUACACAAACGAUAAUAAAAUCUUCCUCCCGAUGAGCUGCGCUUCCCUCCCCGCUCCCCCCGCACACACCGCGCGCCGCCAUUUGAUAAUUGACAUUGCUCAAAAGGAGAUCCAGUUACAAAUUACAAUAUUAAUAUUUUUUCACAAAGCAUUUGAUAAGGGUUAAUAUAAAAGAUUUUUACGGUAUCAUUAUAGCGUAAAAAUAGGUAGGCCACUCAGAGUCAAUGCCGCUUCGUAGGUGGAGCAUUGACUCGAAUUUUGCACGCUAUACAUUGUGGGUUUGAAAAAUAUUAAAUCACUAAAACUACAAAAUAAGGCAAUUUAUUGAUUAAGAUUAUUGGUAUUGGAUUGUGUUUAGGUAGUAUAAUAACAAUUUUUUGCUAGCGUUCUGGUUACACCCUGGGACACCAUAGGACAGUAUAUUCUAGCGUUGCGCGGUGUAUGUCACAAUCUUCCCCUUAGCACCGCCGACCAGUUUUGCAUCCGCCGGAUGAUGUUUCAUAAUUAUUAUUAUUAAUAAUAGGUAAUAUCUAAAGCUAUUAUAAUUAUAUCGUACACACGCUCUAACAAAUUUACAUUAUAUUUCAUAGUAAUAAUAAUACAAUACAACAAUUCUCACUCCAUCUCUUUCAAACACAUACAACUACACUCUCUCUUUCUCUCACACACAUGCAUACAUAUACACAUGUACAAACAUAAUAUUGUAAUACAGUGAGUUAUACUCAAUGCCAUAAAAUAAUCCCAUAAUAUCAAUCAAUACAUAUUAUUUAAGAAGUACAAGAUUUUUAGGGUAGGAACACACGGGUGGUUCCACCCUAAUCAUAAUAGUUGUGCUAAAAAUUAAACUAUUUAAAAAAUUCAGUUUGUUUCUUUUAUAGGCAGUGCGUAAAUAGUGGAUUCAACGUAGUUGUAAACUGUUUUUAAUUACACGUGUUAUAGGCAACGCGAAAUUUCUGAUUCGCUCUGCUGGUCGAUUGCGGAAAAAUUCGCAAUCAUUAUUACAAUCGCAAUUGUUUUUGCAACAAUGCAUUGUAGCCAACAGCACCAACCAAUCAGAGCUGAUUCCGAUCGUGACAUUGUAGCAGUCAUUCUGCCGCAAUCGAGCCGCUGAAGUAGCAAACGUCGCAAUCGGCGUGUUUGCACCGGUAUAGAUAAUCACAAAAGCUACUACAUAUUUACAUUUUUUAAAUUUUUUAUGAAAAAAUCCUUAAGUGUGUAUAGUACGCGACAGGUUGAGAUGGCAACCGGGGUGGGGACGCCCCGCACAGCCCCCGCACUACCUCGCUGCGGGUGACGUGCGGGUGUGCGAGGCGUCCCCACCCAAGUCACCCACUACAUUAUGUGCCUAUUUGUACCGGCGUAAACACGAAGCCGUCACAACUUCGGCGAUUUUUGCGUCACCUAUAUACAUAAAUUUCACUAAUAGCUAGGCUAUUACAAAAAGAAAAUGAUAUCAAUUUUGUCCAUAAUUUUGCCUUAUUUUUCUGUAGAAAAUACAGGUAAAAGGAGUUCUUGACUACAAUACAAUGAGGGGGAUGUAUUUGCGCAUGGGUACUGUACUUUCCUACAGCCUGUGAAGCGAGGCUUGAUUGGAGAAUCAAUAGCGAAGCCAUACAGAUACCCUCGCUGGCGUUCCGUACCAUCAAAUAAAUCGAUAAAUCACCCACCGCGCAAGUACAGGGUCAGAGUUCCUUUUACUCAACUGUAUGUAUAAUAUGCUUUUCAUAAAUAAUAAGUUUUAUUUAGAUGAGAGACCAAAUGUUGAAAAAGUUUGAGUUCCACAGGAAGGGAACAAUUUCAAAUCACAGCCCUCUUUAGUGCCCGAGUAAGAGUUGAAACGCUAACAGUUAACAGGUAAAUGUUGUUAGUUAAUAGAUAACAGCUAAUAGUUAACCUCCUAACUAACAGCAGCUAUAUCUAUUAAAAGAUAACAGCUAACCUCCUAACUAACAACAGUUAUCUGUUAACAGGUAACAGUUGAUUGUUAGCAAUCAACGCUUAACUGCUAACCGGUAACGACUAACAGGUAACUGUUACCAAAAAACGAUGAAUUAUUAUUAAAUUAUUAUAUUAUUAAGUAAAAAAUGUUGUAUGGCCAUCCAAUUCCUCGCAACAACCUAACUACGCAGUUGCCACGCAUUUUCUCGCGGCCAUUGAGUCUAAAACGUUAUGUCUAAAUCUUGUUUAUUUUGCGUCGCUACUUGACGAGCUAGUUUUGUAGGCGACGAAAGUGUUAAAUAAAAGCGCCCACAGCUAAUCGUAGAUAGGUAACAGCUAUCUGUUGACAGGUAUUCGUCAUCGAUAACAGCUAGCAGUUAAUUGUUAACAGGUAACAGUUAAACGCUGAAAGCUAAAACACUCGCACAGUACUGAGUCACACUCGCGCGAUAGGAAGCUAUCCCUUUUAUAGACUCUGUUUUUAUAGAAAUUUCGUAUUUAUGUACAUGAUAGUCAUCCUUACAUACAUGUAAUGGCAAAUUUUUUCAAUUGUUUUGAUUGAUUGAACUUUAGUUUUUAAUUUUGAUGCUAGUGCUAUAGAGCAUAAAACGAUCGUUCUAUGUUUAGAAUUUUAGAUGAUUGAGAAUAUGGAAGUAUUGGAAAUUUCUAUUUGACUUGAAUAUACAUUUUGUACAAUCAUUAAACCUUUAAUUGUAUACGUAUUUAUUAAGACUGGUAUUAUACAUAAUUGAUACAGUGUGGGUAACUUAUUACGUGUCCUAUCGCUUAGCGUGCAAUGUACAAGAUGCUAAAUCCUAUGCCACAUCACAUAAUCAUUUGAAUUUUUCUACUUCAUAAUUUGCAAUAUUUUCAAUAACUUUUUUAACUCUUAAAGUGGUGCUAUAUAAAACGUGGAAUUUCGAUUAAAAUCACUAUUUUUUUACAAUCUAUACAAUCAAUGGGCAGAAGAAAACCCAGUUGAUAAAUUUAAUAAGCAACAGGUGCUGGUGCCUAUUUUCAUUCAUUCAUUACAAAUUAGAUUUUAAAACACAGCAAAAUAAAACGUAAGAAUGCGUAAUGAAUGAUCACUUUGAAAAAAGAUACAUAACUCAUAUCAUAAGUCUUUGUUGCUUGAAAUAAACUUCUAUUUUAAUUUAUUAUUAGUAGAAAUCAUUCCAUAACAAAAGGAAACAGCUUAACAUAAUUACACGGGCGUAACGUAAUUACCCGUUU